UCUCUUUUAUAUAUUUAUCGUAUUUGCAUAAUCUAUUUUAUAUUAUCGCAUUUAGAAUAUUAUAUAAACCACUACUAUACAUUAGUAUUUCUAUUUUUAUCUAUAUAUGUUUUAUAUUUAUUUUAUUUGCAUUUUAAUUUUUCAGUUAUUUAUUUAUUUAUAUUUAAUUUCUGUUUUUGUUUUUGUUUCAGUUUUAUUUUUUAUUUUCGUCUUUACUUUUAUAAAAUUAUGCAAGUCAAAGAAAC
Molecule: long non-coding RNA, 245 nt
Filed under: Lathyrus oleraceus (garden pea)
Lineage: Eukaryota; Viridiplantae; Streptophyta; Magnoliopsida; Fabales; Fabaceae
Description: Pisum sativum (pea) long non-coding RNA (PSAT_LNC003090)
Source: RNAcentral